CUCAAAUGAAUUGACGGGGGCCCGCACAAGCGGUGGAGCAUGUGGUUUAAUUCGAUGCAACGCGAAGAACCUUACCUGGUCUUGACAUCCACAGAACUUUCCAGAGAUGGAUUGGUGCCUUCGGGAACUGUGAGACAGGUGCUGCAUGGCUGUCGUCAGCUCGUGUUGUGAAAUGUUGGGUUAAGUCCCGCAACGAGCGCAACCCUUAUCCUUUGUUGCCAGCGGUUAGGCCGGGAACUCAAAGGAGACUGCAGUGAUAAACUGGAGGAAGGUGGGGAUGACGUCAAGUCAUCAUGGCCCUUACGACCAGGGCUACACACGUGCUACAAUGGCAUAUACAAAGAGAAGCGACCUCGCGAGAGCAAGCGGACCUCAUAAAGUAUGUCGUAGUCCGGAUUGGAGUCUGCAACUCGACUCCAUGAAGUCGGAAUCG
Molecule: ribosomal RNA, 433 nt
Filed under: Klebsiella pneumoniae
Lineage: Bacteria; Pseudomonadati; Pseudomonadota; Gammaproteobacteria; Enterobacterales; Enterobacteriaceae
Description: bacterial SSU rRNA
Rfam family: Bacterial small subunit ribosomal RNA
Source: RNAcentral